Molecule: ribosomal RNA, 253 nt
Filed under: uncultured bacterium
Lineage: Bacteria
Description: partial 16S ribosomal RNA
Rfam family: Bacterial small subunit ribosomal RNA
Source: RNAcentral
UACGGAGGGUGCAAACGUUGCUCGGAAUCAUUGGGCGUAAAGCGCACGUAGGCGGUUUGUUAAGUCGGGUGUGAAAGCCCAGGGCUCAACCCUGGAAGUGCACUCGAAACUGGCAGGCUUGAAUAUGGAAGAGGGUCGCGGAAUUCCCGGUGUAGAGGUGAAAUUCGUAGAUAUCAGGAGGAACACCGGUGGCGAAGGCGGAUCUCUGGGCCUUGCCUGACGCUGAGGCGCGAAAGCUAGGGGAGCGAACAGG